UCGCUAUAGGUGUUCUUGAGCCUACCCAGAUCUUCAUAAGGCAGAACCGAGUGGCCUACUUUGACCGUGAAUAACUCUCUCAUCUUAACGAAUUUGGACAAUCUAUAAAUUGGGUCUUGUAGAGGAAAUACAAGACUACAAGAUCCAACAAUCAUAACCUCUAAACAAACAUCAGAUCUGGGAUAAAUCAGCCAUCAAAGUAGCUACCAAAGCUGUUCUUCACGAAGAACAGUUCGAGGUGCCUACUUUGGACCUCUAUAACUUGAUGAUCGUGUAACGUUUAUGUGAUCUAUCAAUUCCAGUGUGUAGACAACAUGUAGGACUACAACUCUAACACUUAACAUCAUCAUAAAAACAAUAAAUCAAGCAUCUAAAGUAUGGUCAAACCUUGUCAGAAAAAUUAACACUUAGAAAAUUCUGGGCUGCCCAGAAUUUUCUGGUCAAUGCCGGUCAACCCACUUUGACCUUAAAUAACUCUUAAUCCGUAAUAUAUAUGGACCUUAUUAUUUUUGGAGGUUAAAUACCACAUAACAAGCUACACAUAUCAACCUUUAGAACACAAAACACAUUACAUAUGACCGAGAUAUAAGGCCUGACAUUUGCCAAAAAAAUAUUUCUGGACACUUAGAAUAUUUUCUGGGUUUGAAAAACAGCCGGUCAAUGCCGGUCAACCCACUUUGACCGCUUAUAAAUCCCGAUCUACAAUAGAUAUAGACCUGAUUCCUUUUGGAGUUUAAAGACCACAUAUCAGGCUACCUAUAACAACUUUUAAACAACAAAACUCGUGAUCGACCAAAGAGUUAUAGCCUCUGACAUUUGGUGAAAAAUAACAGAAUUCGGUUUUUCCAACUUGUUUAAAUCUUCAAAUUCGUGCACUUUGAUGUUAU
Molecule: long non-coding RNA, 887 nt
Filed under: Panax ginseng (ginseng)
Lineage: Eukaryota; Viridiplantae; Streptophyta; Magnoliopsida; Apiales; Araliaceae
Description: long non-coding RNA (PGIN_LNC002537)
Source: RNAcentral